UUUGGUUGGAGCUCCCUAUGUACCUGAGGCCUUUCAAAGUCACACCUUUUGAAAUACGUGGUCUUAGCAAAAUCCAUUUGAAAUGAAGUCUCAGAGCUGACAAGCAGUGAUUUAUCACAGAACAGAACUGAAAGAGGACAUACAGUUCUAGCAGGAAGAGAUGCAAGAGAAUCCCAGCAAUAGGAAAGUGAUGAAGACCUGACUCUGAGUUGUUUUUGCCCUUAAGCUGGUUGCUCCUGCUUUCCAAACUCAGUGACUUUGAGUUCAUCUAUUUUCCUCAUGGUAGCAAAACCAGCAAAAGCAAAACUCAACACCAAACAGGACUGCCUUUCUGAAUAAUCACAGAUUACUUAGCAGUGUUCUGAAAAUGUUAGCAGAAAGGCAGGGCGUGUGGAGAACACGGAGUGCUGCACAGAACGUUAAUAUGUGACCUGUGACAGAGAUGCACUCAGGACCACUAAAAGCGUAAGGACAGGAAAAUGAAUGGUGAAGAAGAUGGCAAUCCUUUGAAAAAUUAAUCCUGGCUGAGUUAUUGCCUAAAGUAAAGCAUCAGGAGUCAAAAAGCUCUGACUGCAGAGGAGGAGGCACUUAGGCAUGAAUUUCAAAAUCUCACUUUUACCGUAUCUGCUGUAAAGCACUACGGAUGGAGCUGGUUGUGGUAUGAAGUGUUAAGCUGAAAGGCAUCCCAGCUUUUCUGAUGAAGAGGAAGGGAGCUGUGGGUAUUUAAUCACCCAUGGGUAGCCAGAAAUUAUAUAGGAAACUGUAAUGGAUACUGGCAUCUAUUUAAAAAAAAAAAAGCAUUGCAUUUUCCUUCCCCCUUCUGCACCUAUGCUGUGCGCCCCCAGCAUCAUCUGUCUCCCUGAGAGCACCGAUGUCCUCUCCAUUCCUUGAUUUCCUUUUAAUGAUAUAUUUUCGUUCUCCUGACAAAAGCAGAAAUCUUAUUAACAUCCUACCAACAUAACUUGAGUCUAUGCUUCUGUACCUCAGGCCAGGAGGUGCAGAGUCUCAACAGAACAUAGGGAGAAAACACACAGGAGCCUUUUUUUUUUUUACACUAUUUACACUGAGAUGGCUGGAUGCUUUGCCACAGCCCUUUACUGCCAUUCCUGGGGCUGAAAUCUGCACCUGGCAACUCUGAAGCCACCCAUUCCUAUUUAACCUCUUUUUCCCCUGGAUAUCUGUUUGAUAUCUGUACAGCUUAACUUUCUCAGG
RNAcentral lists this long non-coding RNA (1212 nucleotides) under Gallus gallus (chicken). RNAcentral describes it as "lncRNA (ENSGALG00010017244.1)". Lineage: Eukaryota; Metazoa; Chordata; Aves; Galliformes; Phasianidae. The record is from RNAcentral.